Molecule: ribosomal RNA, 253 nt
Filed under: uncultured Parabacteroides sp.
Lineage: Bacteria; Pseudomonadati; Bacteroidota; Bacteroidia; Bacteroidales; Tannerellaceae
Description: partial 16S ribosomal RNA
Rfam family: Bacterial small subunit ribosomal RNA
Source: RNAcentral
UACGGAGGAUCCGAGCGUUAUCCGGAUUUAUUGGGUUUAAAGGGAGCGUAGGUGGAUUGUUAAGUCAGUUGUGAAAGUUUGCGGCUCAACCGUAAAAUUGCCGUUGAAACUGGAAGACUUGAGUGUGUUUGAGGUAGGCGGAAUGCGUGGUGUAGCGGUGAAAUGCAUAGAUAUCACGCAGAACCCCGAUUGCGAAGGCAGCAUACCGGCGCCCUACUGACGCUGAGGCACGAAAGCGUGGGGAGCAAAUAGG